AAUUGCACAACGCCGUCCUCUGCAUUUGUUCUUCUCUCUCUCUCUCUCCGUGUUUGAAGUUAGAAACACUUCCACAGCUUCUUUCAAAACACUUCUCUUUUUUAUCUUCUUCAAUCUAUCUCACUGUACAUUCCAGGAACAGAGCAUCAUCAAUGGAAACCAACAAGUUUGCAAGCAUGUUGCAUAGAAACACCAACAACCUCACCCUUAUUCUCGUCUAUGCCAUACUAGAAUGGACUCUGAUCGUACUUCUCCUUCUUAAUUCUCUGUUCUCUUAUCUGAUCAUUAAAUUCGCCGAUUACUUUGGCCUCAAAAGGCCCUGCUUAUGGUGUUCUAGGAUUGAUCAUGUCUUAGAGCCUGGAAAGAGUAAAGUUUCUUAUAGAGAUCUUGUUUGUGAAGCUCAUGCCUCUGAGAUUUCCAAGCUGGGUUAUUGCUUUAAUCAUCGGAAACUGGCCGAGUCCCAUGAUAUGUGCGAGGAUUGCUCAUCCUCAUCGCAACCUGAUUGUCCAGAAUUAUCAAAAAGGUUUGCUUUCUUUCCAUUAAUAAACAAGAUUGGUUUUAUUCAGAGCAGUGAUCAGAAACUCGGUGGAAAUGGGGAGGAGAAUUUGAACUGCUCUUGCUGUGGCUUAAAUGUGGAAAGCAAAUUCUACUCUCCUUGUAUAUUGAUUAAGCCUUCUUGGGCGGAUUUCGAUUUCUCCCAUAAAGAGAAUUUGAUUGCGGAAACAGGGGUUGAUUCUCAAACUAAUGAAUGUGUACAUUCGGAUCGAAGCAGAUCGAAUUCCGAGACUAGUCUAUGCGAAGAUGAACGAAGUAUUGGAGAAAAGAAGGAAAUUCAGAUUAUUUCUGAUUUUGUAACUGAUGGUUGUUCUGGUAAAAGAGAACAGGAGGCAGAGGAGAAAUGUGAUGUAUUUGACUUUGGCUGGAAGGAACUGGUAGCUAUUGAAGACGAAAAAUUGGAAAUCGUUAAAGAAAAAAUGCAAGAGCUCGAAAAGGAGGAGAAUUUCAUUGAAUCCAUGGAUGAUCAGUCUUGUGAUCAGUCUAUGGCUCAUGUCAAUUUUAGUAAGGAAACGUCCCAUGAAACUUGGCCUCAGCAUCUCGAGUUUUUCAUUGAUGGUGAAGAUUGUACGUUGAUUGCAGUUGAAUUGAUAGGCUCUCCUGCCACAGAAGACGGAGAUCAACCAAGAUAUGGAGCGGAUGAUCAAGGAAAUUGUGAUUCAGACGUUAUUUUGGAAUUUAAUAUGCAUGCGGAGGAAAACGCCGAACCGUUGUCGGAGAAUUGGCAGAGUUCAGGUGAGAAUUUGGCAUUACUUUCAUCCCAUGAGAGCAAGGAGGCGCCCAAGGUUGCAGUGGUUGAAUCCGUAGUGAUGGUUGAGACUGACAGUACCUCUGUAAUGCAUACAGAAGGAGAUUUAUCGGAUUUAGUGUGGGAAGAAUAUGAACAAGCUGCUAUUACUCAACCAACUCAAACGCCGUCAAGUGAUGAUGAUCAUGAGGAGCAAGAAACUGCAGAAACAAGAAGAGAAAUGGAUUCAGAUGUUCCUAUAGCAUCUGAAGAAGUAAUUCAAACGCAGAGCUGUGAAUUUGAUGCAGAGAUCUCAAGCGGGGCAGAGAUUCUUGAUCAGAAACCACUUGAUGAGUCUCAACCCCAAGAGGUUCAUAAGAGCUGUGACUUUGAUGCAGAGAUCUCAAGGGGGGCAGAGAUUCCUGAUGAGGAACCACUUGAUGAGGCUCAACACCAAGAGGUUCUUCCAUCAUAUGAACGCAGGCAACAAUAUCCUUCCACCAGCUCCGUCAUGUUGCAUGUCAAUGAUGAUAAUGGUCCUAAGCCAGCUGAAGAAGAGGUUUUUUACUUCACAACCAUCUCAGUAGAAAGUAAUAAGCAAGCAAUAAACAAUCAUGUAUCGGUACGUUCAGAGCCUAAUGAAAUAGAGGAAGAGAAGGUUCCUGAUACACCUACUUCUGUGGAAAGCUUGCAUCACUUGCACAAGAAGUUGCUAUUGCUUGAGAGGAAGGAAUCAAGAACAGAAGAGUCCUUAGAUGGAAGUGUCAUUGGUGAGAUAGAAGGAGGUGAGCUGACAAUUGAGAAGUUGGAGUCAGCAUUGAGGGCUGAAAGGAAGGCUUUGAAUGCCUUAUAUGCAGAACUAGAAGAAGAGAGAAGUUCUUCUGCUGUGGCAGCUAACCAGACAAUGGCGAUGAUAAACAGGCUCCAGGAAGAGAAGGCUGCAAUGCAAAUGGAAGCAUUGCAAUAUCAAAGAAUGAUGGAAGAGCAAUCUGAGUAUGACCAGGAAGCUUUACAGCUUCUGAAUGAGCUUAUGGUCAAAAGGGAAAAAGAGAAGCAGGAGGUGGAAAAGGAGUUGGGAAUGUAUCGUAAGAAGGUCCAGGAUUAUGAGGCUAAAGAAAAAAUGAGGAUGUUGAGGAGAACAGAUAGUAGCACAAGAAGCAUUGCUUCUUGUAGCAAUGCCGAGGACAGUGAUGGACUAUCGAUUGACUUGAACCAUGAAGCAAAGGAAAGAGAUAGUUCCUUUGGAAAUCAAGAAAGUAGCAACCAAAACACUCCCACUGAUGCUGUUGUUUAUUUGGAGGAGUCCCUUGCAAACUUUGAGGAAGAAAGGCUAUCAAUUUUACAGCAGCUCAAGGAGUUGGAAGAGAAGCUUUUGACAUUGAGUGAUGGGGAGGAACAACACUUUGAGGAUCUCAUACCGGUUGAGAAUGGAAAUGGAUACCAUUAUAAUUCAGAUGCUGACAUUGAAGCAAAUGCUUUUGAAAAUGGUCAUUCCAAGGAAAUGAAUGGAAAGCAUCAUCAAGAGAUUAGCAUCAAAGGGUCAAAGGCAAGGAGACUUCUUCCCCUUUUUGAUGCUAUUGUUACAGAUGGUGAAGAUGCUUUGGGGAACGGACAUGAACAAGGGUUUGGUUCUGUUCCAUUUCAAACAUCCUUAGACACCAAGUUUGAAAUGGAGAAUAAGCUUGCUAUAAAAGAGGAAGUAGAUAAUGUAUAUGAGAGGCUUCAAGCACUUGAAGCAGAUAGGGAGUUUCUAAAGCACUGUGUCAACUCCUUGAGCAAAGGAGAUAAGGGAUUAAAUCUUCUCCAAGAGAUUUUAGAACAUCUUCAUGAUCUUAGGGGUGUGGAACUCCGAGUCAGGAAGAUGGUGGAUGGUCCUUUAUAUUGACUUUGAGCUUAAGUAUAUUCAUGAAGAUUUGUCAGGUAUAUCCAUCCUUGAAGAGUAUAGGUUUCUCUGUUGGAGUUGAUUGAGGCCUCCAAAUCAGGACAAAGAAAUACCAACUUUUGGGUACGUAACGAUACAUGGCAUUAAUGCACCUCAGCAUUUUCAUCCAAAAUUCAGUGGAAGCCUCCCAAGGACAGGGAGGUUUCUGGUAUGGUAUGUUUGGUGUCUUAGGUGGUCUGCAACACUGAAGUCUGCCUUCUUUUGUUUUUAAACAAAAAAGAAAGAAAAAGAAAACCAACCUUUUCUUUUUCCUUUCUUUUUUUUUUUUUUUUUUUUGGUAUCCAAGUGAGCCCAAAUUUUUGUGGGUAGUGCCCAUCACCACCUUUUGAGGGAAAGGAGGAUGAUGUGUGUAUGUGUGUAUAGGCUAGUCAU
Juglans regia (Persian walnut) is the source of this 3596-nucleotide RNA transcript. It is a transcript of the gene named myosin-binding protein 3-like, with no coding region annotated. The record is from RefSeq and is a predicted model, not a curated record. NCBI's taxonomy places the organism in Eukaryota, Viridiplantae, Streptophyta, Magnoliopsida, Fagales, Juglandaceae. The transcript has 4 exons.